This 384-nucleotide ribosomal RNA is filed under the name Triticum aestivum (bread wheat). RNAcentral describes it as "partial small subunit ribosomal RNA". The record is from RNAcentral. Lineage: Eukaryota; Viridiplantae; Streptophyta; Magnoliopsida; Poales; Poaceae.
AUGCGGCUGGCGGCUGUUAUCAGCACAAUCAUCUCCCUUGCGCUAUCUGCAUUCCAGAGAACCAAGUGCAUUCAUGAUAGCUUCCUUUUUGUCCAAAACAGAGUUCGUGCCCUGCACCGCAGCAAAACCCCUGCCCUGCUGCUCAAGCUUGAUAUCGCAAAAGACUUCGACAGUGUUUCCUGGGAGUACAUCCUAGAACUGCUCCAGAAAUUGGGUUUCCCGCCAAGAUGGAGGGACUGGAUCGCGCUGCUCCUUGCAACUUCCUCGUCGUCCUGCCUGCUCAAUGGCAUCCCUGGAAACAACUUCUUCCACCUUCGCGGCCUCCGUCAGGGCGACCCGUUAUCGCCGCUGUUGUUCAUCCUGUGCAUCGACCCCCUACAUUGA